This 184-nucleotide non-coding RNA is filed under the name Desulfovibrio sp. JC022. RNAcentral describes it as "6S RNA". It matches the Rfam family "6S / SsrS RNA". Rfam says of the family: E. coli 6S RNA was the first non coding RNA to be sequenced, but its function was unknown until recently. The record is from RNAcentral. Lineage: Bacteria; Pseudomonadati; Thermodesulfobacteriota; Desulfovibrionia; Desulfovibrionales; Desulfovibrionaceae.
AUUUCCCUGGGGAGUGCGUGAUUGCCCUAUAGCUUUUGAACCAAUAUAAAAAGUAAGGGAGCCAUGCAUCGCCGGAGUGGUGUGCAAGCCCGGUUCGACCGGGAAGCCUGAAACUUCGGGGGCGGCGCCCACCUGUUAGACUAGGUUCUAACGUAUACGGCAACACGGCAUCUCCGGGGUCCCA